GUUGUCGUUUUGGCUUAUUUGUAUACUUUUACCCAAUUCCCAAUCUCAGUCUUCUCUCUAGAACAUCCCACAGAUGCCUCUCUCUCGGUACAAUCACUCUGUACUCCACCGGAGGCCUCUCUCUCUACCAGCACUCUUCUAGUACGUCCUCCCUCAUAGUCCGCAGGACGCCUCCCUUUCUCUCUCUAAUCACUCUUCCCUCAAGCUCAACAGAUCGUCCGGUUUGAUCAUAUGCAUCAGAUCUGUUCUCUUCUAGGGUAAACUUUGGCAGAUGAAGCUUGGGAGAAAAUACAAUUAAAGUUGCUCUCAGUUUCUUUCAUAUUCCAUUUUGCUCUCUCCUUGGAAAUCGAUUAACAGGUUCAAUCCCAAAGAAUUCGGAAACAUAACCAGACUCAGAAGCUUAGUCCUCGGGGACAAUCAGCUUUCUGGAGGUAUUCCUCUAGAGCAUGGGAAUCUUCCCAGCUUGGAGAAAAUGAUUAGCAACAACUUUAAAGGAAAGAUACCUAAUUUCAUCCAAAACUGGACAAAACUCCAAAACUUGAUGAUUCAGGCUAGUGGUUUGGAUGGGCCAAUUCCUUCUGGAAUUUCUCUCUUGGAAAAUUUGUCUGACUUGAGAUUCAGUGACUUGAGUGGAAGUGAAACAGCUUUUCCACCUCUUAGUAAUAUGAAAAGCCUGAAGACACUGAUAUUAAGGAGUUGCAAUAUUAUGGGACAGAUACCUGAUUAUCUUGGAACAAUGACAAAUUUGAAAACCUUGUUAGUUCUUUUCCAUUCUCCAUUUUCAUGUGUCUCAUUUUCUUAAAAAGCGUUUUGAUCACAUACUUAUCUCUUGUUUGAUAGCUCAAAAGCUUACUAAAACUGUAGUCGAAUUUAAAUAUAUAUUCUCUAUAUUUUUGUUGUCUUCCUUGUGUUAUUGAACAUAUAGGCACCUUUAAAACAAUUGAGUGAUGUUAUAUAGUAUUAUUAAAUGAAAUGUUUCCUAUUAUAUAUGUGCUUUAGUUUGAUGAACUUUUAGCACAAUAAAAAAUAAUAUGGCGAGUGGACUUGUGUAUUUAUUAAAUAAGUUUAAGUUUACUCAACUAUCUUUAUUCUUUAAUUUUACAUAUUUAAGCAAAACUCUUAGUACUUCUUUCAAGAAAAAGAGUUGUUUAUACUUUCGUCUACUUGACAAUUGCUUCAACAUUAGACAAUACAAUGUUAUCUUGGAGCCUUCAUUUAUAUUUUUCUUUGCUGGUCCCUUCAGUUCUUAAUGUUUAAGUUCUGUUUAUAUUUCACUUAAAUUUGAUCUUGUUCCAUGUUUUUAAAAAAAAAAAUUUGGAUCAAAAUUUAUUGCUUCGAUGAGUCACAUUAUUGGCAAUUUUUGGAGUACCAGCACUUCUACAAUUUACCUUGUGAAAUUUUUUAUAUGAUCCAGAUGUUUGAUUCAUCUUUAUGUGUAUCUUAUCUUUCUUCUCAAUGAGACCAGAUUUAUAUAGCAUCAUUCUCCAUUGGAAUGGUAGUAGUUCCUCAUUUUUAAGUACUUCUCAUUAGAAUGGUAGCAGUUGCUCAUUUUUAAGUAAUUCUUUGUACCCUUUGACUAUGGAUCUAACAAUAUCCACUUUCUCUCUCUACACAACUAUUCAAUUUGUAAUGAGACUAUAUUGGUCUUUGCUUGUUAAGCACCAAAGCACAAGGACAAGGACAUAUGUUUUUAUUCCUCAAGUGAAUGAGAUUGCUUAUUGAAAGAGACAAAGUGGAUUUUGAGGUAAGAUCCCUAUGUUUGCAUAUGUUUCUUCUCUCCCCCUUUUUCUCUCUCUAUAUAUGUAUAUUUAGAUCUAUAUUGUGUUGUUUCUUGAAUUUUUCUACUGGUUAAUUUUUAUACACAACUAUUCAAUUUGAUUUGGUUUUUAAAAAAUAAUUGGAGGCAACAAUCCUACAUUUAAAGAGAAAUUCGUGUUUACUCUGAUUUGAGGGCUUGGAGAGUUGAAUAUUGUGAUCUGGAAUAGCAAUAUUAUCUCUCUGGCUAUGAUGACAACCUUCACUACUUCAGAUGGACAGAUAUAUGUUCUCGACUAAAGAUCAUUACUUCAUGAUUAACUCAGGUUUGGUGAAUUUUGAUUACUUCUGUCAAAUUCAUAAGAUCCUAAAUUAAAUAAAUGAUGAGGUUGUGUUUAUUUGUAAAUCAAUUGGGGGACUUUAUCUUAAUUUGGUUAUUUUCCAGCUGUAAAAAUGGAUUGUUGCAGUUCUUUUCAUGGUUCUUGUCUAUGCCAGCGAGUCAAUAAGGAUCUACCUAUUUAGAAAUAUACUUAUGUCUUCUUUAACAAUUUUGAUGUAAAAGGACACUACAGGUUGCAUUAUUACAUUAUAUAUUGGGGAUGGUUUGGUCAAUUAUCUCUGGAAGAUUACAAAAUUAUCACUUACUGCAAUUAGUUGGGGUGGAGGCUUUUUUUUUUUUUUUAUAGUUAAUUUAAGUGUCAUUUAUUGUAUUUCUAAUUCAUGUUUACAAUGUCAAUCAGUGAAGUAUGAGCCAUCUUCUAGCAGUGUUUUUGGACCCAAUGUUAUUUACAACUCCAAGAAUCAAGGUGAUUUAGGUUCCCGUGGACAGUUGCAUAUGUUGUCUACAUCAGUUCUUCUACCUGAGUGACCUGAUCAACCUGAAUGUCGAUAUUUCAUUAGCACUGGGAGAUGCAAAUAUGGGUUUGAUUGCAAGUAUAAUCAUCUUAUGAAGGGAAGCUCAGUUGUUCAUCUUUCAGCGGCAGUUAGCACCACAACCACAACCACCUGAAUGACCAAUAGAUUGUCUUCUCUUUAGUCAAUUGAAUAUAAAAGACAUUUGAGCAUUCUAGCUGAAUAUUUAGUUAAUAUCGUGUAAUCUUUUUGGUUAAUGGAUUAUUUGAGUUGGUAUGUUUUGUUGAAUAUUUGGCUAAUUUUACUGUGUUGUAAACAUUUUAUUAUGAUAAUUAAUGGUUUAUUUCCGUCUCU
Cornus florida is the source of this 2961-nucleotide long non-coding RNA. RefSeq lists it as uncharacterized. Lineage: Eukaryota; Viridiplantae; Streptophyta; Magnoliopsida; Cornales; Cornaceae. The transcript has 8 exons. The record is from RefSeq and is a predicted model, not a curated record.